AUACGGAGGGUGCGAGCGUUAAUCGGAAUUACUGGGCGUAAAGCGUACGUAGGCGGUUGGUUAAGUUAGAUGUGAAAGCCCCGGGCUUAACCUGGGAACUGCAUUUAAAACUGGCGAACUAGAGUUGAGUAGAGGGGAGUGGAAUUUCAGGUGUAGUGGUGAAAUGCGUAGAGAUCUGAAGGAACACCAGUGGCGAAGGCGACUCCCUGGACUCGAACUGACGCUGAGGUACGAAAGCGUGGGUAGCAAACGGGAUUAGAUACCCUAGUAGUCC
This 274-nucleotide ribosomal RNA is filed under the name uncultured bacterium. RNAcentral's name for it is "partial 16S ribosomal RNA". It matches the Rfam family "Bacterial small subunit ribosomal RNA", at positions 523 to 796 of the family's 1533-position model. The record is from RNAcentral.